AAGUUUGCAUCCCCUGCGGGUGCCGCUGCCUCCUCGGACCAGCCACCAUGUCGGCCUUCCCGCUCUGACCAAAUCGUCACCGGCCACAGCAGCCGCCACCGGAACCACGGCCAGCCACGUCGUCUGACCAGCCUUGGCUUCGUCGGCGCCACCACACCCUUCAAGAGAGAGCAGCGGUUUCACAUCCUCCGCCACCACACGCACACCGUCGUCAACCUGCUUGGCCAGCCACCGUGACAGAGUCCCCCUACUCCGUCCAAGGCGCCGCCAGCGACCAAACUACCGGAGCUACCGCCAGCUUAGACGCGAAAUCCCCCUUUCCGCUUUCUCGCGUGAGAACAGGGAAGCGUAGUGCUUCCUUCCUUCAACCGGCCACCACCGCGAGCCGCCGUCGUCACAAAAACAACGACCCUUCGUCGGACCAACACUGAGAAACCACCGCACCUCCGGAAGUCCACGCGUACUCCAGUCGGCGCAGCCACAGCGAUCACCACGUGAAUCUCUUCUAUUCAAAUCUCUGUUUUACUACACACUCAUUCGAUAUUGGAGUGGGAUUCUCACAUUUAUGGGAUUUUUCAUGUUCUUGCUGUUUUUCUUGUUUGGGCGCUUGCAGGUUAUAGGCCAUGAAUCACUUGGUUUCAAGGAGGAUUUGGCAUAUAGAGUGCCGUUGUUGAAUUUCUUAGUUUUUGAUUGCCUUACAGCUUUGUAGUGUGUUUUCUAGGCAUUUCUGGAUGUAAGUAAAGAGGGUAUUGGGGUCCUGCUGUUGGAGAUAUAUAUGCCUAUGUUCCAUUGUCAAUUAAAUACGAUAGAUUUUGUAGGCAUUGAAAUUACGUUUUGGGUCCAUUUUUGAUUAACAGAUAAAACCACAAAGGGGACAACCACGAUUCUGUAUAGUGAUCAAACAACCAUUCAUUCAUCUCCAAGCAUGUGUAAGGAAAGCAUACGCAUAAGCAGGUUCAAAGAGUUUNCAAGCAUGCAUAAGGAAACAGAGAGCUUAAGUGUAAGCAUACAAGGACUUACCUCCACAGCUCCAAACCUUUCCUUUUGGUUCCAUACUCUCUGGCUCCCUUAGACCUUGGAUUGCUAAAGUAACCUUGCAGGUNCUGGAAAGCUAUGCUGAAAGCGAAUGAUUUUCUUUCUCUUUGGUCGUGAGGUGUUCCUUCUUCCUAAGUCGUGAUGAUAGGGGAUGGUGAAACGUU
RNAcentral lists this long non-coding RNA (1199 nucleotides) under Vigna radiata. Its description in RNAcentral is "long non-coding RNA (VRAD_LNC013598)". The record is from RNAcentral. Lineage: Eukaryota; Viridiplantae; Streptophyta; Magnoliopsida; Fabales; Fabaceae.